GACCACUCUGGUGGCCUAGUGGUUAGAGCAUCCACCUUACAUCUGGAUGUGGGAGAUCAUGGGUUCAAUCCCUGGCUGAGUCA
Molecule: non-coding RNA, 83 nt
Organism: Potamilus streckersoni
Lineage: Eukaryota; Metazoa; Mollusca; Bivalvia; Unionida; Unionidae
Source: the annotation of a GenBank genome assembly